UGGUCACAGGGAGGUAGUGACAAGAAAUAACAAUACGGGGCUUAAUGUCUUGUAAUUGGAAUGAUGGGAAUUUAAACCUCUUCCAGAGUAUCAAUUGGAGGGCAAGUYUGGUGCCAGCAGCCGCGGUAAUUCCAGCUCCAAUAGCGUAUAUUAAAAUUGUUGCAGUUAAAAAGCUCGUAGUUGAAUUUYUGCUGCAUUGCUUUUGCUCCUUUACGAGUCUUUGCAUUGUGGCUUAUUUCGGACUUUGUUUUACAAUGUCCGGAUGUUUACUUUGAGAAAAUUAGAGUGCUCAAAGCAGGCUUUCGCCUUGAAUAGUUUAGCAUGGAAUAAUAAAGUAGGACUUUGGUUCUAUUUUGUUGGUUUUAGGUACCAAAGUAAUGGUUAAUAGGAACAGUGGAGGGCAUUCGUAUUUAACUGUCAUAGGUGAAAUUCUAAGUA
RNAcentral lists this ribosomal RNA (438 nucleotides) under Theileria ovis. RNAcentral's name for it is "SSU rRNA". It matches the Rfam family "Eukaryotic small subunit ribosomal RNA", at positions 454 to 936 of the family's 1831-position model. Lineage: Eukaryota; Apicomplexa; Aconoidasida; Piroplasmida; Theileriidae. The record is from RNAcentral.